GGGCGGGUAGCUCAGCGGUAGAGCGUCGGUUUUACACACCGAUGGUCGCAGGUUCGAUCCCUGUCCCGCCCA
RNAcentral lists this transfer RNA (72 nucleotides) under Pseudomonadota bacterium. RNAcentral describes it as "tRNA-Val". It matches the Rfam family "tRNA". Rfam says of the family: Transfer RNA (tRNA) molecules are approximately 80 nucleotides in length. Their secondary structure includes four short double-helical elements and three loops (D, anti-codon, and T loops). Lineage: Bacteria; Pseudomonadati; Pseudomonadota. The record is from RNAcentral. RNAcentral also lists the same sequence under 1 other name.